RNAcentral lists this unclassified non-coding RNA (372 nucleotides) under Mortierella sp. RNAcentral's name for it is "partial contains 5.8S ribosomal RNA, internal transcribed spacer 2, and large subunit ribosomal RNA". The stretch from base 1 to 71 matches the Rfam family "5.8S ribosomal RNA", at positions 84 to 154 of the family's 154-position model. The record is from RNAcentral. RNAcentral also lists the same sequence under 1 other name. Lineage: Eukaryota; Fungi; Mortierellomycota; Mortierellomycetes; Mortierellales; Mortierellaceae.
GUGAAUCAUCGAAUCUUUGAACGCAUAUUGCGCUCUUUGGUAUUCCGAAGAGCAUGCUUGUUUGAGUAUCAGUAAACACCUCAACCUCCUCUUGUUUUUUCAAAAGGAGGGUGGACUUGAGCUAUCCCAACAACCUUCACCGGUAGGCGGGCGGCUUGAAAUGCAGGUGCAGCUGGACUUUUAUCUGAGCUAAAAGCAUAUCUAUUUAGUCCUCGUCAAACAGGAUUAUUACUAUUGCUGCAGCUAACAUAAAGGAUAAUUGUCCUCAUUGCUGACUGAUGCAGGAUUUUACGACACUUUAUGUGUUGUUCAACUCGAUCUCAAAUCAAGUAAGACUACCCGCUGAACUUAAGCAUAUCAAUAAGCGGAGGA